CAUUAUUGAAUGAACUUGGCUGUGGUUGUUGCUGGCCCUCUUGGGGGCAUGUGCACACCCGCCAUCCUCAUCUCUCCACCUGUGCACUUCUUGUAGACUUGGAUAGACUUUCCGAGGCAACUCGGUCUGGAGGAAUGCUGCGCCCUUUGGGCAAGCUUUCUUUGUAUUUCCUGGUCUACGUUUUUUUUCAUAUAACCCCAUCGCAUGUAACAGAAUGUACCAUAUUGGGCCCUUGUGCCUAUAAACCUUAUACAACUUUCAGCAACGGAUCUCUUGGCUCUCGCAUCGAUGAAGAACGCAGCGAAAUGCGAUAAGUAAUGUGAAUUGCAGAAUUCAGUGAAUCAUCGAAUCUUUGAACGCACCUUGCGCUCCUUGGUAUUCCGAGGAGCAUGCCUGUUUGAGUGUCAUUAAAUUCUCAACCUUUAUUAGCUUUUGCUGAUAAGUGGCUUGGAUGUGGGGCUUGCUGGCGACUUUAUUGAGGUCAGCUCCCCUUAAAUGCAUUAGCUGGUGCCCUGUGUGGACUGUCUAUUGGUGUGAUAAUUAUCUACGCCGUGGAUGUCUGCAAUUAGCACUGCUUCUAACCGUCUGUUCAUUUCGGACAAUACAAUGACAGUUUGACCUCAAAUCAGGCAGGACUACCCGCUGAACUUAAGCAUAUCAAUAAGCGGAGGAA
Molecule: ribosomal RNA, 673 nt
Filed under: uncultured Naucoria
Lineage: Eukaryota; Fungi; Basidiomycota; Agaricomycetes; Agaricales; Cortinariaceae
Description: eukaryotic LSU rRNA
Rfam family: 5.8S ribosomal RNA (bases 254-407)
Source: RNAcentral